RNAcentral lists this ribosomal RNA (449 nucleotides) under uncultured bacterium. RNAcentral describes it as "partial 16S ribosomal RNA". It matches the Rfam family "Bacterial small subunit ribosomal RNA", at positions 29 to 523 of the family's 1533-position model. The record is from RNAcentral.
AACGAACGCUGGCGGCAGGCUUAACACAUGCAAGUCGAACGCAUCCUUCGGGGUGAGUGGCAGACGGGUGAGUAACGCGUGGGAACGUGCCCUUCAGUUCGGAAUAACCCAGGGAAACUUGGGCUAAUACCGGAUACGUGCGAGAGCAGAAAGAUUUAUCGCUGAAGGAUCGGCCCGCGUCUGAUUAGCUAGUUGGUGAGGUAAUGGCUCACCAAGGCGCCGAUCAGUAGCUGGUCUGGGAGGAUGAUCAGCCACAUUGGGACUGAGACACGGCCCAAACUCCUACGGGAGGCAGCAGUGGGGAAUAUCGGACAAUGGGCGCAAGCCUGAUCCAGCCAUGCCGCGUGAGUGAUGAAGGCCUUAGGGUUGUAAAGCUCUUUCAGUGGGGACGAUAAUGACGGUACCCGCAGAAGAAGCCCCGGCUAACUUCGUGCCAGCCGCCGCAGUAA